UAUGUUUUGUCAAAAUUACAUGUUGUGCCACCGGCAAGUCAUCCCAAAGCGUUACCCAUCGAACGGAAAAAAAAAAACAGCUGUUCGUCCCGGCAUCUUCACUUUCCCCACCCCAAUCCGAUGCUGAGCUGCGGCCUGCCGGACCUCGCACCGCCCGUCGUGCUCCCGCAGCCGCUCCAGGACAGGAGUUCUUCGAUCCCUUAGCACGCCGGCCCAGAUUGGCACCGAUCCAUCCUUACCUCUUUUCCCUCUCCAAUCUCGAGUUCUUUUUAUGUCCCUGGUUCUGGAUCUGGAUCAAUUCAUGUGUUCGCCACCUGUCUUCGAAGCAGAUGCAGCGUCAGGCUCCGUUGCCGGUGUGGCUAGAUCCCAGGCCGUGUCCAGCACCAGGCCGUUCAGCGACGUUGUCUUCAACCCCGUGGCCCUGGCUGCCUCGGUGCUGCGGCUGCACAUCCGGGAGUGGCAGCGGAGCUGGCCGAACAGAAUCUCACUAGCGCCAAGCGCGGGGUGAGCGAUCUCACACCAGACCUCCUUCGUACCGCUGCGGGUGCGAUGCAGACAACAUAGACAUAUAUGUACACACCACGGGAACAUGCAUGGCCAUCGUGAUGUUUCCGUCAUGGCUGCGAUAAGAUCAAGAGGAGGACGUGCACCUCAAUCAAUCACCGCAAGCACCUGGAUGCUUUGCUUCGUGCAUGGACACACUGACUUCAGUUUUUACAGUACUGACGUGUGGUGUAUUUUUUUCACGGAAGAACUGUCUUGAAAAUCCCCAAAACAAGCUACACUUUUUGGCCCAAA
Molecule: long non-coding RNA, 798 nt
Organism: Lolium perenne
Lineage: Eukaryota; Viridiplantae; Streptophyta; Magnoliopsida; Poales; Poaceae
Source: RefSeq, a predicted model, not a curated record